CAUUCUCUCUCACUAUAGUACACUCAAACUCGUACGCACGAACGCGACAUAAAAUGUGAAGUAGUACAUUUUGAAACGUUGAGCCGCUCUUACAUUUUGACGUCAUGUACGGGACAAAUGUACUGCCUCUUGUAAGUCCUACUCAACGCUAGUAUUACUAGAAAAAUUUCA
Long non-coding RNA from Maniola jurtina (meadow brown), 171 nucleotides. RefSeq lists it as uncharacterized. The record is from RefSeq and is a predicted model, not a curated record. The transcript is spliced from 3 exons. NCBI's taxonomy places the organism in Eukaryota, Metazoa, Arthropoda, Insecta, Lepidoptera, Nymphalidae.